RNAcentral lists this ribosomal RNA (505 nucleotides) under uncultured bacterium. Its description in RNAcentral is "partial 16S ribosomal RNA". It matches the Rfam family "Bacterial small subunit ribosomal RNA", at positions 28 to 507 of the family's 1533-position model. The record is from RNAcentral.
GACGAACGCUGGCGGCGUGCCUAAUACAUGCAAGUAGAACGCACAGUUUAUACCGUAGCUUGCUACACCAUAAACUGUGAGUUGCGAACGGGUGAGUAACGCGUAGGUAACCUGCCUGGUAGCGUGGGAUAACUAUUGGAAACGAUAGCUAAUACCGCAUAAUAUUAAUUAUUGCAUGAUAAUUGAUUGAAAGAUGCAAUUGCAUCACUACCAGAUGGACCUGCGUUGUAUUAGCUAGUAGGUGAGGUAACGGCUCACCUAGGCGACGAUACAUAGCCGACCGGAGAGGGUGAUCGGCCACACUGGGACUGAGACACGGCCCAGACGCCUACGGGAGGCAGCAGUAGGGAAACUUCGGCAAUGGACGAAAGUCUGAGCGAGCAACGCCGCGUGAGUGAAGAAGGUUUUCGGAUCGUAAAGCUCUGUUGUAAGAGAAGAACGGGUGUGAGAGUGGAAAGUUCACACUGUGACGGUAUCUUACCAGAAAGGGACGGCUAACUACGUG